UAGGCGCUCCCAUUCUGCCUUCUCUUCCUGUUUCCCCGCUUUACCUCUCACACGUGAGUCUGCUGUCUGAGCAGAUCUUUGGCAAGAAGAGUCUCCUGUUCAAGAUGCUCUCAGUGACUGCGGGGUUGGCUUAAAACACCCUCAUUUGGUUUCACUAAGGGGAGAGGACUUUUAUGACGCUUUACUCUUAUCACAGGCCAGUCAUUGAAAGCUGUAUGUCCAAUCACUCAUUGCAGACGUGAAGGUUGCCAAUAAGCAUUAAAUCGAAAAGAGGUGAGCCCGGCUGUGAAAAGUUGGUCAUCCAACCGAUGUUGCCGCUGUCGGGUGGAAAUGAAUACUCGAUCAUCAAUCUAAGGAUGUCGUCUUGGUGACAGCAUUUUCACUAAGCAGUUUUCCCUUGUUGAGCCAUACAAAUUUUACUGCUUCCUGUUACAUGGAGUAAUUUGAACUAUAAAUUCUGGACAGUGAUGCGAUCCUACCAACCUUGGCUGCUUGAGGAUUUCGUUGCUUCUUAGAUGUGGAACGAACACCUUUGGGGGAUCAUCUUUGACCAUUUCAGUGUGACCUUUUAGGAUGAAAAGCUUGCCAUCCUAUCUAUAUUUGUGAAGUCUUUGGUUGGAAAAGGGCUUCUCCAGAUUUUAAAUUUGUGAUAAAGGCAAUUUUAAAUAAACUUUUGCAAUGGG
Molecule: long non-coding RNA, 683 nt
Organism: Chinchilla lanigera (long-tailed chinchilla)
Lineage: Eukaryota; Metazoa; Chordata; Mammalia; Rodentia; Chinchillidae
Exons: 3
Source: RefSeq, a predicted model, not a curated record